GUGAGGAAUAUUGGUCAAUGGGCGAGAGCCUGAACCAGCCAAGUCGCGUGAAGGAAGACGGUUCUAUGGAUUGUAAACUUCUUUUGUAUAGGAAUAAAAAAGGGUACGUGUACCCUAUUGUAUGUACUAUACGAAUAAGGAUCGGCUAACUCCGUGCCAGCAGCCGCGGUAAUACGGAGGAUCCGAGCGUUAUCCGGAUUUAUUGGGUUUAAAGGGUGCGUAGGCGGGAUAUUAAGUCAGUGGUGAAAGUUUGCAGCUUAACUGUGAAAUUGCCAUUGAAACUGAUAUUCUUGAGUGCAAAUGAGGUAUGCGGAAUGUGUUGUGUAGCGGUGAAAUGCUUAGAUAUAACACAGAACACCGAUUGCGAAGGCAGCAUACUGGGAUGCAACUGACGCUCAGGCACGAAAGCGUGGGGAUCGAACAGGAUUAGAAACCCUUGUAGUCC
RNAcentral lists this ribosomal RNA (445 nucleotides) under uncultured bacterium. Its description in RNAcentral is "partial 16S ribosomal RNA". It matches the Rfam family "Bacterial small subunit ribosomal RNA", at positions 354 to 796 of the family's 1533-position model. The record is from RNAcentral.